UUUUUUCCUUUUCUAAAGGUGUCGGAUUUUUGGCAAGUCGAUCUCGUUUCUCCCUGGAAAUGUCGAUGUUGCCUAAAAAUGUCGAUCCCACCUUUUUUCCGAGAAAGUCGAUGACUGCUGAUCCUUUUCUAAAGGUGUCGAAUUUUUGACAAGUCGAUCUCAUUUCUCCCUGGAAAUGUCGAUGUUGUAAAAAAUGUCG
Molecule: long non-coding RNA, 199 nt
Filed under: Zostera marina
Lineage: Eukaryota; Viridiplantae; Streptophyta; Magnoliopsida; Alismatales; Zosteraceae
Description: long non-coding RNA (ZMAR_LNC004734)
Source: RNAcentral